RNAcentral lists this ribosomal RNA (519 nucleotides) under fungal sp. S14 ZLY-2010. Its description in RNAcentral is "eukaryotic LSU rRNA". The stretch from base 167 to 320 matches the Rfam family "5.8S ribosomal RNA". Lineage: Eukaryota; Fungi. The record is from RNAcentral.
GUGAACCUGCGGAGGGAUCAUUAUAGAGUUUUCAACUCCUUAAACCAUGUGAAUCUUACCACUGUUGCCUCGGUGGUGGGUGCGUCUCACGAUGCGCUGCCACCGGUGGACAUACAAACUCUUGUUAAUUUUUGGCAUUCUGAAUCAUAACUAAGAAAUAAGUUAAAACUUUCAACAACGGAUCUCUUGGUUCUGGCAUCGAUGAAGAACGCAGCGAAAUGCGAUAAGUAAUGUGAAUUGCAGAAUUCAGUGAAUCAUCGAAUCUUUGAACGCACAUUGCGCCCAUUAGUAUUCUAGUGGGCAUGCCUGUUCGAGCGUCAUUUCAACCCUUAAGCCUAGCUUAGUGUUGGGAGACUGCCUAAUACGCAGCUCCUCAAAACCAGUGGCAGAGUUUAUUCGUACUCUGAGCGCAGUAAUUUUUUAUCUCGCUUCUGUAAGUCGAUUAGACGAUAGCCAUAAACCGCAUCCCUCGGGAGCACUUUUUUAAUGGUUGACCUCGGAUCAGGUAGGAAUACCCGC